Molecule: ribosomal RNA, 959 nt
Filed under: Coconut lethal yellowing phytoplasma
Lineage: Bacteria; Bacillati; Mycoplasmatota; Mollicutes; Acholeplasmatales; Acholeplasmataceae
Description: partial 16S ribosomal RNA
Source: RNAcentral
GCCCUUCGUCCUUCAUCGGCUCUUAGUGCCAAGGCAUCCACUGUACGCCCUUAUUUUCUUCAUUAUUUUGAGAAUUUACGUUGUUUAUCUACUUUUCAAAGAACUUUUUUGAUUUUCAGUACAUUUAGACUGGUGGGCCUAAAUGGACUUGAACCACCGACCUCACGCUUAUCAGGCGUGUGCUCUAACCAACUGAGCUAUAGGCCCUUAAAAUCUUAAAGAAUAUUAUAUUAAAAGAAUUAACUAAUGAAAAAAACGAAAAACUUAUUUUUUAAAUUAACUUAAGUCUUUCAAAACUGAAGAUGAUGAUUUUAAAAAAUUUCCUUAGAAAGGAGGUGAUCCAUCCCCACCUUCCGGUAGGGAUACCUUGUUACGACUUAACCCCAAUCAUCGACCCUACCUUAGACGAUUCCCUCUGCUUACGCAGUUAGGCUGUCGCUUUCGGGUAUUGUCCACUUUCGUGGUUUGACGGGCGGUGUGUACAAACCCCGAGAACGUAUUCACCGCGACAUGCUGAUUCGCGAUUACUAGCGAUUCCAACUUCAUGACGUCGAGUUGCAGACUUCAAUCCGAACUGAGACUAUUUUUUUGAGAUUUGCCAAAAACUCGCGUUUCAGCUACUCUUUGUAAUAGCCAUUGUAUCACGUUUGUAGCCCAGAUCAUAAGGGGCAUGAUGAUUUGACGUAAUCCCCACCUUCCUCCAAUUUUUCAUUGGCAGUCUCGCUAAAGUCCCCACCAUAACGUGCUGGCAAUUAACGACAGGGGUUGCGCUCGUUUUAGAACUUAACCUAACAUCUCACGACACGAGCUGACGACAACCAUGCACCACCUGUAUCCCUGAUAACCUCCACUAUAUUUCUAUAGCUUUGCAGAGUAUGUCAAGACCUGGUAAGGUUUUUCGUGUAUCUUCGAAAUUAACACAUGAUCCACCGCUUGUGCGGGAUCCCCGUCAUUCCUUU